Molecule: non-coding RNA, 201 nt
Filed under: Erysipelotrichaceae bacterium
Lineage: Bacteria; Bacillati; Bacillota; Erysipelotrichia; Erysipelotrichales; Erysipelotrichaceae
Description: T-box sequence
Rfam family: T-box leader
About the family: Uncharged tRNA acts as the effector for transcription antitermination of genes in the T-box leader family.
Source: RNAcentral
UGAAAAGCUAUGAAAAGAAGAGUACUCCUUUCAUUUGUUUUCAGAGAGGCUUUGGGCGGUGAAAAUAGCCAACAAUGAAGGAAGGAACAUGGUCUUGGAGCUGUCUGUCUGAUAGGUAAGGCAGAAUGGUGCCCGCCUUUAUCGGGUUAGAGGUGGAUCAUCUCCACGAAUAUAGGUGGUAACACGGCUUUCGUCCUAUGG